RNAcentral lists this ribosomal RNA (502 nucleotides) under uncultured bacterium. Its description in RNAcentral is "partial 16S ribosomal RNA". It matches the Rfam family "Bacterial small subunit ribosomal RNA", at positions 28 to 507 of the family's 1533-position model. The record is from RNAcentral.
GACGAACGCUGGCGGCGUGCCUAAUACAUGCAAGUCGAACGAACCGCGACUGAGUGCUUGCACUUGGUCAAGGUGAGUGGCGAACGGGUGAGUAACACGUGGGUAACCUACCUCAUAGUGGGGGAUAACAGUCGGAAACGACUGCUAAUACCGCAUAGGACAUGGAAUCACAUGAUUCUGUGAGGAAAGGUGGCGCAAGCUAUCGCUAAGAGAUGGACCCGCGGUGCAUUAGCUAGUUGGUAGGGUAAGGGCCUACCAAGGCGAUGAUGCAUAGCCGACCUGAGAGGGUGAUCGGCCACAUUGGGACUGAGACACGGCCCACACUCCUACGGGAGGCAGCAGUAGGGAAUCUUCCGCAAUGGACGCAAGUCUGACGGAGCAACGCCGCGUGAGUGAAGAAGGUCUUCGGAUCGUAAAGCUCUGUUGUUAGAGAAGAACAGCGCAUAGAGUAACUGUUAUGCGUGUGACGGUAUCUAACCAGAAAGCCACGGCUAACUACGUG